GCCCACCUAGUUUACCAGCUGAAGUAGCCAAGCCCGUGAGGGGAUAAGGCACCGCCGCCGCCUUCCACCUCCGCCAUGGCCACGCCGCCGUCGUCCACCUCCGCCAUGGCCACGCCGCCGUCGUCCACCUCCGCCAUGGCCGGCCUAGCGCCACCGUCCACUUCCCCCAUGGUAACCCUAGUUCCCCCCUUCAUCUCCACCAUGGACGCCGCUGCCUUCUUCCUCAAUGUCCGCAAGAGGCCCAUCGACCAAGAACCAAAAUCAAGAUCCAAGUGGAGAACAGUCAAAGAAGAAGCUGUAGCAAUCUCCAAAAAUCCCAAGUGCUGCGAUCUACUAGUCCACUAGUUGAUAAGCCUACAAACCGUCGAGACUUUGAUUGCCUACAAAACUGGCUCAGAACAGCCGACCUAGAAAGAUGCAAAGGUGUGUCAUUAGAGCCGGAGGGAGAAGAUCAAGAUUUUAGUCAGCUGAGUUGAAGAAGCAAGUAAGCCUGAAGAAAUGGACAGAUUGACAUUUAUACAUCAGGAAGAUAUGAACAAGCAAUCUUGUUGUGAACCAGAAACAGGUAGAAGGUGAUAAGGUGGGCGUCGGAGUGAAAAGGAGCUCAGGCUGAAGGAUUGAUCUAAUUACUGGUUAUGUUGAGCAAACUGAAUUUUAGUCUAAUUUGUACCUGGAUGCUUGUAACUUGUGUUGUUCCAGAAAUAAACUGAACUUGUCUAUAAAAAUGUCUGAAUGUCAAUUUGCCGUGUUUUGUCUGAGGA
Aegilops tauschii subsp. strangulata is the source of this 761-nucleotide long non-coding RNA. RefSeq lists it as uncharacterized. The record is from RefSeq and is a predicted model, not a curated record. NCBI's taxonomy places the organism in Eukaryota, Viridiplantae, Streptophyta, Magnoliopsida, Poales, Poaceae.